AUCAGCCUUUUCGGGUGCGAUUCUGUGGGGUUUGAGGAGCUUAACACCUUCAUGCUUUGCAUAUUCGUGCUCUUGGGUGUACUUGCCCGUGUGGUUGGUUAACAUCAAUUUCGGGCACCAUAAAAUGGCUGGAGGAAUGUAGCUUCGAUCUUGUAUUGAAGUGUUAUAGCCUUCGGUAGAUGUGGUGAUCGAGAUUGAGGAUUGCAGCGGAUACCUUUCGGGGCUACCUGUCUGAUCUCUGAUCGUUGCUUUGGUGCUGAAAGCGUGCUUAUAGUUAUCAAAGUCGAUGGUCAAUAGGUUAGAAUGGGUUAAAUUCGUUAAGGAUGUUGACGUAAUGGCUUU
RNAcentral lists this ribosomal RNA (342 nucleotides) under uncultured Glomeromycotina. Its description in RNAcentral is "eukaryotic LSU rRNA". The record is from RNAcentral. Lineage: Eukaryota; Fungi; Glomeromycota.